This is a non-coding RNA of Myodes glareolus (Bank vole), 603 nucleotides long. The record is from RefSeq and is a predicted model, not a curated record. NCBI's taxonomy places the organism in Eukaryota, Metazoa, Chordata, Mammalia, Rodentia, Cricetidae.
CUGAGUUUUAAACCAGGCUCAGGAUCCUGAUUUAUGCUUUCAGUUGAGAAUAAUUGGCCAAGAAGAAUAUGAUUUUGGAUAGGUAGUCCUGAGGCUUUGACGGAAGAACAGGACAGUGGGCAGCAUACGGUGAGCACAUGUUACAUUAUAUGUCACAAUAUGGCAUGGAAGCCGCAGCUUGGCUUUCUCGACAGUCUGGUGGCAAAGAAGCUGUCCUCAGAUGACUGUAUGAGGAAGGAUGCAACCCAGUCCAUGGUGCUCUCAGCCCAGGGACAGGAGACUGACACACUCACAGCACAGCCCAUUGUGUUCUCAGCUCAUGAACAGACUGCUCCUCCUGAACUCCCUUAGGAAAAAAACAACAACAACAACACAAGAAUCCAGCCUUUUCUUCUGUUUCUGCCAGCCUCUGUCUAGGAGAAACAUUUGUCACCACUCAGCUGGACUCUUGACAAUGUGCCCCCUUCCAGUCUCUCUGCUCCUGCUCUGAGUCCCCAGUCCUAGCAGAGUAUCAUCUGGGUACCACAACUUCAGCAUCACCCGCUCCAAGGGGAGUUGAACCAGAACCUGCCAGGAGCUCAUGGACCUCUGAAAAGCCCAGCA